UACGUAGGGUGCGAGCGUUAAUCGGAAUUACUGGGCGUAAAGCGUGCGCAGGCGGCGCGUUAAGCCAGGUGUGAAAGCCCCGAGCUUAACUUGGGAAUUGCGCUUGUGACUGGCGUGCUGGAGUGUGGCAGAGGGAGGUGGAAUUCCACGUGUAGCAGUGAAAUGCGUAGAGAUGUGGAGGAACACCGAUGGCGAAGGCAGCCUCCUGGGCCAGCACUGACGCUCAUGCACGAAAGCGUGGGGAGCGAACAGG
Molecule: ribosomal RNA, 253 nt
Filed under: uncultured bacterium
Lineage: Bacteria
Description: partial 16S ribosomal RNA
Rfam family: Bacterial small subunit ribosomal RNA
Source: RNAcentral